Molecule: long non-coding RNA, 2549 nt
Organism: Pseudoliparis swirei
Lineage: Eukaryota; Metazoa; Chordata; Actinopteri; Perciformes; Liparidae
Exons: 4
Source: RefSeq, a predicted model, not a curated record
GCCUCGGCCCAAAAUCAGAAUUUCUUUUGCCGUGAGAAAUUGGUUGUGUGGCAUGAGAGCGUGUGAAAACAUGCAAAAGCAUGUGUCACACGGCGAAACCGUGAGAGUUGGUCGCUCUGAUUGUUGCUUGGUGCUUUUUAACCUGUGAGUAUUUUUUGUGUUUUGUUAUAAAAGAUUAAUUUGAUUGAAGCCGAAGCCUGUUACCUGCUCAGUGAAAAACAAAGACGUGAGUGUUCAAAGUUUGACUAGUUUUAUCACCUGGACCAAGUCGUAACGUCAGAUGUACUCAGCUUUAUAAUGUCUUUUUUUUUUACAAAGUAAAGUGUUAUUUUAGAAGAAAGCGUAUCAUAUAGAGACAUGUGACUGUCUAAGUGGUUUCUAUACUGCAUGUCGCGCAUUGAUAGUGUAUUCAUACUAUGUCAAUAUUUUUUUAAAUAUUUUGUAUUGAUACAUUAAAAAGUAGAAACAAUUCUUUACCAAUGGCCAUAAAUGAAAAUUAACAUUUUCCUCGGUUCGUAUUGUUAAAUUUAGAGGUUAGCGUUGGUUCUGGUCUUAUUCUAGCAUUUUCUGGCGUGUUGGAUACGCCUUGAAAGUUUAGACAGGAAGUCAAAGAAACAGCCACUUCCUGUUUGUCCGAUCUGUAGGCUACUUGUAGUUUCCAGACCUCGUUUGGAUUUCUUCGCGCGUGUUUGUAAAUAUAUAUUUCUGUAGAAAUGUAAACGUGUGCCUGCGUCUUUUGUUCUUUUUCUUUCUUUCUGUGAAACCCUCGUUUUUAUAAUCAUAAGCAAUAUGAUUCUCAAGCACACAAUAAUAAUCUUUAGAUUAAACAUGAGACUAAUAGCUAACAAUUAAGCAUUAAGUAUAUUAUUAAAGGGAUUAUUGAUGGUUAUCUUUUGAACAGUGGUGUUAGGACGACUACUCUGUGCAAAUGUGUCAGUUUCAAAGUCCAAAGUUUUUCUUUGUACCCAGAUGACUUUCUACAGCUUGGAAGUGUGUGGAGCAUUGACUGCACCGCCUCGCCUUCCUCCCCCUUUUCUGAUCAAACAACCUACAGCAUCUCGAACGACUCAUGUCCCAGAUGUAACUGGGUCCGACUGCAAAUACUCUUGGUCAAAUGAUGUGACUUAGGCCAGCUGGUUUUCAAAUACAUGUAUGACUCACAACAAAUGAUAAAUUACUUGCAGUGUGAUAGCUGAGCUUGUUCGGAUGAACACAAAACUGUCGCUUCCCCGGUACAGUUAUGCACAUGAGGGUUUUUGUUCUAUGGUUUGUGUAACGAACUGAUUAAUUUUUUUCCUCUCCACAUUGACUUCAGAACUAUGUGCUUGCUAAUGAAAUUGACAGUAACCCUGAGCUGGUGGUGAAUAACAGCAUCAACGAUCUCAUCACCCCGAAUUGCUCUGACAUUAUCAUCUACACAAGAAACUGCCUCUAAGAGGGGAUCGGUUACAGGGUUCACUGUACACUCAACUGCACUUUACUUGCCCUCGAGAGGUCUCGGAAGCAAAAAGGUAGAUACAUUAUGUUUGCUAAUCUGCCGUCUACUCUGUCGCUCGUUCUUUGUGUUUUGGAGCCCAAGCUUGAGACAUUCUACUUUUUAUAUAUAUUUUUACAUUUUGUGAAAUGCUUAUGCUCUUUAAAGUGUGUACUGUGAGUGUAAGGGGGCUACAUGGCUCCCUGGUGUCUCAGUUUUGCAUGCUUGCUAGUAAACUAAAAUAAAAUGCCAUGUAUCACUAUCGAGUAUAUGAAUGAACAAUUGGAGUUUCGAGGUCAAAUAAAAAUGUAAAAUAUAAAUAUGUUAACUGUCAAACUCUCUUUCCUUCUGAGAGAUUUCUGUUACUGUUGGUGCUACUGUUGUUGUUAUCCUGCUGGUGGGGCUCCUUUGUUUCUGCCUGUACUGCAAAUUCAAAGAUAGAAUUUCCAGGACGUUCAACCGGAGCCAGCCCCAAUGCCUUUACAUCGAUGUGAAGAUGCAGAACAUUGACCCAUGUCAACGUGCAGCUGAAGAGGAGGCGGGGAAGGUGUAGAAAUACCUUCUUGUUUUCUUUUGUCUAUUUGGAGAACUAUUUUAUGUAUAUAUAUAUAUAAUCGUUCUCCCUUGCUAAUGUUCUCCACAUGUGGUGUUUGUGUCCCAAAAACAAACCGUUUUUUAGCAAUCUCAGACUUAUAAUAAUCAACCUGCCAGUAGUCUAUUGGCAUCCAUCUUAGGUUAAUUGGACCCUUAAUUGCCGUAAGUGUGUAUGGUCGGCCGUCUCUGUGAGCCCUGAGAUGGACUUGUGACCUGUUCAGGGUGAACCGUGCCUUCGCCCAAUGUCAGGUGGGAUCGGCUCCAGCACCCCCAAAAUAGGAUGAGUGGUUAAAAUAAUGGAAUAGAAUAUGCCAAAAUCUAUUUAAAUGUUUUAUACUUUAUAAAUACACUUCAGGUCGUGGAUACAAUAAUGUGUAAUAUAAACCUAUUCUGUUUGCUCUGUCUGCUUUCUGAAAUUUGUAUUAUAGAAUCAUUCAUUAAAUUAUGGCACUGUUUUUAAAUAAAAAUGUUUUAAAGCUAC